GGCAGAGAAGCGCAGGGUGCGCGUCGGGUCUUACUGUCUAUCUUGGUGAGGUUAUAAUUUAUCUCGAUGUCCCCCGUUCGAUUCGGGGCUCUGCCG
Non-coding RNA from Mycena haematopus, 96 nucleotides. Lineage: Eukaryota; Fungi; Basidiomycota; Agaricomycetes; Agaricales; Mycenaceae. The record is from the annotation of a GenBank genome assembly.